AGUGGACGCUGGCGGUAGGCCUAACACAUGCAAGUCGAACGGCAGCACAGUAAGAGCUUGCUCUUACGGGUGGCGAGUGGCGGACGGGUGAGGAAUACAUCGGAAUCUACUUUUUCGUGGGGGAUAACGUAGGGAAACUUACGCUAAUACCGCAUACGACCUACGGGUGAAAGCAGGGGAUCUUCGGACCUUGCGCGAUUGAAUGAGCCGAUGUCGGAUUAGCUAGUUGGCGGGGUAAAGGCCCACCAAGGCGACGAUCCGUAGCUGGUCUGAGAGGAUGAUCAGCCACAUUGGAACUGAGACACGGUCCAGACUCCUACGGGAGGCAGCAGUGGGGAAUAUUGGACAAUGGGCGCAAGCCUGAUCCAGCCAUACCGCGUGGGUGAAGAAGGCCUUCGGGUUGUAAAGCCCUUUUGUUGGGAAAGAAAAGCAGCAGGUUAAUACCCCGCUGUUCUGACGGUACCCAAAGAAUAAGCACCGGCUAACUUCGUG
Molecule: ribosomal RNA, 492 nt
Filed under: uncultured bacterium
Lineage: Bacteria
Description: partial 16S ribosomal RNA
Rfam family: Bacterial small subunit ribosomal RNA
Source: RNAcentral